AGGUCAAGCUACAAAGGUCGCAUGGUGAAUGCCUUGGCAUCAGGAGCCGAUGAAGGACGUGAUAAGCUGCGAUAAGCUUCGGGUAGGCGCACAUAGCCUGAGAUCCGAAGAUCUCCGAAUGAGGAAACUCACAUGGGAAACCCCAUGUAUCAUUAAGUGAAUACAUAGCUUAAUGAAGGUAACCCAGGGAACUGAAACAUCUAAGUACCUGGAGGAAGAGAAAGAAAAAUCGAUUUUCUUAGUAGCGGCGAGCGAAAGGGAAAGAGCCCAAACCGGAAACUUGUUUCCGGGGUUGUGGACAUAGCAUUAAAGUGGAGGCUAUUGUAACUGAAGAGAACUGGAAAGUUCCACCGUAGAAGGUAAUAGUCCUGUAAGUGAAACGAGAAGACCACGAGUUAUGAUCCAGAGUACCACGAGACACGUGAAACCUUGUGGGAAGCAGGGAGGACCACCUCCCAAGGCUAAAUACUACCUGAUGACCGAUAGUGAAGCAGUACCGUGAGGGAAAGGUGAAAAGAACCCCGGGAGGGGAGUGAAAUAGAACCUGAAACCGUGUGCCUACAACCGCUCAGAGCCCCUUAUGAGGGUGAUGAGGUGCUUUUUGUAGAACGAGCCAACGAGUUACGGUAUGUAGCAAGGUUAAGUACUUAAGGUACGGAGCCGAAGGGAAACCGAGUCUGAAUAGGGCGACUAGUUG
This 697-nucleotide ribosomal RNA is filed under the name Clostridium perfringens. RNAcentral describes it as "bacterial LSU rRNA". It matches the Rfam family "Bacterial large subunit ribosomal RNA", at positions 1 to 702 of the family's 2925-position model. The record is from RNAcentral. Lineage: Bacteria; Bacillati; Bacillota; Clostridia; Eubacteriales; Clostridiaceae.